RNAcentral lists this ribosomal RNA (594 nucleotides) under uncultured bacterium. RNAcentral's name for it is "bacterial SSU rRNA". It matches the Rfam family "Bacterial small subunit ribosomal RNA", at positions 338 to 946 of the family's 1533-position model. The record is from RNAcentral.
CCUACGGGAGGCAGCAGUGGGGAAUAUUGGGCAAUGGAGGAAACUCUGACCCAGCGACGCCGCGUGCGGGAUGAAGGCCUUCGGGUUGUAAACCGCUUUCAGCAGGGAAGAAGCGAAAGUGACGGUACCUGCAGAAGAAGCACCGGCUAACUAUGUGCCAGCAGCCGCGGUAAUACAUAGGGUGCAAGCGUUGUCCGGAAUUAUUGGGCGUAAAGAGCUCGUAGGUGGUUCGUCACGUCGGAUGUGAAAAUCUGGGGCUUAACCCCAGACCUGCAUUCGAUACGGGCGAGCUUGAGUAUGGUAGGGGAGUCUGGAAUUCCUGGUGUAGCGGUGGAAUGCGCAGAUAUCAGGAGGAACACCAAUGGCGAAGGCAGGACUCUGGGCCAUUACUGACACUGAGGAGCGAAAGCGUGGGGAGCGAACAGGAUUAGAUACCCUGGUAGUCCACGCCGUAAACGGUGGGCACUAGUUGUGGGGACCUUCCACGGUCUCUGCGACGCAGCUAACGCAUUAAGUGCCCCGCUGGGGAUACGAUCGCAAGNUUAAAACUCAAAUGAAUUGAGGCUGAGAGNGCGAGACGACGACGAGGAGAGG